RNAcentral lists this ribosomal RNA (1453 nucleotides) under Mammaliicoccus sciuri. RNAcentral describes it as "bacterial SSU rRNA". It matches the Rfam family "Bacterial small subunit ribosomal RNA". RNAcentral also lists the same sequence under 1 other name. The record is from RNAcentral. Lineage: Bacteria; Bacillati; Bacillota; Bacilli; Caryophanales; Staphylococcaceae.
GGCGGCGUGCCUAAUACAUGCAAGUCGAGCGAACAGAUGAGAAGCUUGCUUCUCUGAUGUUAGCGGCGGACGGGUGAGUAACACGUGGGUAACCUACCUAUAAGACUGGGAUAACUCCGGGAAACCGGGGCUAAUACCGGAUAAUAUUUUGAACCGCAUGGUUCAAUAGUGAAAGACGGUUUCGGCUGUCACUUAUAGAUGGACCCGCGCCGUAUUAGCUAGUUGGUAAGGUAACGGCUUACCAAGGCGACGAUACGUAGCCGACCUGAGAGGGUGAUCGGCCACACUGGAACUGAGACACGGUCCAGACUCCUACGGGAGGCAGCAGUAGGGAAUCUUCCGCAAUGGGCGAAAGCCUGACGGAGCAACGCCGCGUGAGUGAUGAAGGUCUUCGGAUCGUAAAACUCUGUUGUUAGGGAAGAACAAAUUUGUUAGUAACUGAACAAGUCUUGACGGUACCUAACCAGAAAGCCACGGCUAACUACGUGCCAGCAGCCGCGGUAAUACGUAGGUGGCAAGCGUUAUCCGGAAUUAUUGGGCGUAAAGCGCGCGUAGGCGGUUUCUUAAGUCUGAUGUGAAAGCCCACGGCUCAACCGUGGAGGGUCAUUGGAAACUGGGAAACUUGAGUGCAGAAGAGGAGAGUGGAAUUCCAUGUGUAGCGGUGAAAUGCGCAGAGAUAUGGAGGAACACCAGUGGCGAAGGCGGCUCUCUGGUCUGUAACUGACGCUGAUGUGCGAAAGCGUGGGGAUCAAACAGGAUUAGAUACCCUGGGUAGUCCACGCCGUAAACGAUGAGUGCUAAGUGUUAGGGGGGUUUCCGCCCCUUAGUGCUGCAGCUAACGCAUUAAGCACUCCGCCUGGGGAGUACGACCGCAAGGUUGAAACUCAAAGGAAUUGACGGGGACCCGCACAAGCGGUGGAGCAUGUGGUUUAAUUCGAAGCAACGCGAAGAACCUUACCAAAUCUUGACAUCCUUUGACCGCUCUAGAGAUAGAGUCUUCCCCUUCGGGGGACAAAGUGACAGGUGGUGCAUGGUUGUCGUCAGCUCGUGUCGUGAGAUGUUGGGUUAAGUCCCGCAACGAGCGCAACCCUUAAGCUUAGUUGCCAUCAUUAAGUUGGGCACUCUAGGUUGACUGCCGGUGACAAACCGGAGGAAGGUGGGGAUGACGUCAAAUCAUCAUGCCCCUUAUGAUUUGGGCUACACACGUGCUACAAUGGAUAAUACAAAGGGCAGCGAAUCCGCGAGGCCAAGCAAAUCCCAUAAAAUUAUUCUCAGUUCGGAUUGUAGUCUGCAACUCGACUACAUGAAGCUGGAAUCGCUAGUAAUCGUAGAUCAGCAUGCUACGGUGAAUACGUUCCCGGGUCUUGUACACACCGCCCGUCACACCACGAGAGUUUGUAACACCCGAAGCCGGUGGAGUAACCUUUUAGGAGCUAGCCGUCGAAGGUGGGAC